AGGCCUCAAGUGAUGUGUGACAACCCCCUGAUUU
This 34-nucleotide ribosomal RNA is filed under the name Anopheles minimus. RNAcentral describes it as "partial 28S ribosomal RNA". Lineage: Eukaryota; Metazoa; Arthropoda; Insecta; Diptera; Culicidae. The record is from RNAcentral.